UAAUACGUAGGGUGCAAGCGUUAAUCGGAAUUACUGGGCGUAAAGCGUGCGCAGGCGGUUUGAUAAGUCAGAUGUGAAAUCCCCGGGCUUAACCUGGGAACUGCGUUUGAAACUGUCAGGCUAGAGUACGUCAGAGGGGGGUGGAAUUCCACGUGUAGCAGUGAAAUGCGUAGAGAUGUGGAGGAACACCGAUGGCGAAGGCAGCCCCCUGGGAUGAUACUGACGCUCAUGCACGAAAGCGUGGGGAGCAAACAGG
RNAcentral lists this ribosomal RNA (256 nucleotides) under uncultured bacterium. Its description in RNAcentral is "partial 16S ribosomal RNA". It matches the Rfam family "Bacterial small subunit ribosomal RNA", at positions 521 to 776 of the family's 1533-position model. The record is from RNAcentral.